AAAAACAUAGUUUAAACAAAACAAUUAAUUUACACUUAAUAAUUCCCUAUGGGUGUUUUUA
This 61-nucleotide transfer RNA is filed under the name Bothriometopus macrocnemis. Its description in RNAcentral is "tRNA-Val". The record is from RNAcentral. Lineage: Eukaryota; Metazoa; Arthropoda; Insecta; Psocodea; Philopteridae.